CGUACCCAGCGCAAGAACGCGCGGUCGGGCGCCGGGCUCCGCGGCCUUGGCCACCGUGGUUCCUCAGCACCGUCGGGCCGGGGCUGCUGAGCCCACCCAGAAAGGUCGUUUCCCCCGCAGUUUCCAACAUGGCAGGUAGGUUUUAUAGACAUGGAUAAGAAGUCCACACACACAAGUUCUGAAGAUGCUGGGACCAGCAGAAAUGGAGGUAAACACAAACAAAAGAAAAAAAAGCAAAAGCAAAAC
Hippopotamus amphibius kiboko is the source of this 246-nucleotide long non-coding RNA. RefSeq lists it as uncharacterized. The transcript is spliced from 3 exons. NCBI's taxonomy places the organism in Eukaryota, Metazoa, Chordata, Mammalia, Artiodactyla, Hippopotamidae. The record is from RefSeq and is a predicted model, not a curated record.